GUGCUCACUUUGGCAGCAUGUAUACUGUAAUUGGAAAGAUACGGAGAAGAUUAGCAUGGCCCCGGGGCAAGGAUGACAUGCAAAUUCAUGAAGCAUAUUUUU
Molecule: small nuclear RNA, 102 nt
Organism: Sapajus apella (tufted capuchin)
Lineage: Eukaryota; Metazoa; Chordata; Mammalia; Primates; Cebidae
Source: RefSeq, a predicted model, not a curated record